RNAcentral lists this ribosomal RNA (253 nucleotides) under uncultured bacterium. RNAcentral's name for it is "partial 16S ribosomal RNA". It matches the Rfam family "Bacterial small subunit ribosomal RNA", at positions 524 to 776 of the family's 1533-position model. The record is from RNAcentral.
UACAGAGGGUGCAAGCGUUAAUCGGAUUUACUGGGCGUAAAGGGCGCGUAGGUGGAUGUGUAAGUGAGAUGUGAAAUCCCCGGGCUUAACCUGGGAACUGCAUCUUAUACUGCGCAUCUGGAGUGCGAUAGAGGGUAGUGGAAUUUCCGGUGUAGCGGUGAAAUGCGUAGAUAUCGGAAGGAACACCAGUGGCGAAGGCGGCUACCUGGAUCGACACUGACACUGAGGCGCGAGAGCGUGGGGAGCAAACAGG